GAAGAAAAACUAAGAAAUUUGAGAUAAAUUACUACAAAAAUUUAGAUUGAUUUUUAGCUUUUCUUCCGUACUCUGCUUUUAGCAGUACAAGGCUAUAUCUAUCAUAUGUCUUCUACCUAAUCAACUAAGAAAUAAAUGGAGCACCUUAAUUAGAAGAUUAGUUUUACAAGUUUGGACAAAUCAUAUCCACCCUUUUUUGCUACAUUUCAGGAUUUUUUAUUCAAACUAAAUAUUAAAAUACAUAAACUAAAUUCUUGG
This 258-nucleotide unclassified non-coding RNA is filed under the name Hevea brasiliensis (rubber tree). The record is from RNAcentral. Lineage: Eukaryota; Viridiplantae; Streptophyta; Magnoliopsida; Malpighiales; Euphorbiaceae.